RNAcentral lists this small RNA (164 nucleotides) under human gut metagenome. RNAcentral describes it as "Clostridiales-1 RNA". It matches the Rfam family "Clostridiales-1 RNA". The record is from RNAcentral.
GAUGCCAGGGUCAAAAUCCUGAAACCACGAUGUGCUUGCACAGGAGUGGUUUUAUGGCUUAAUGACCCGCUCCGAUAUGAGCAUAAAAGUGGAGCGCAAGCUUCACGAUAUGCUCAUAUCGGGGCAGGAUUGUGGGAGUACGAAGUACGGAACAAUCCGUAAGG